CCUGCUUCUCUUUCAGUCUCAGCCUGAAUCUCUCUGCGAAUUUUGGAGAAAUCAUAGAACCGCUUGCCAGGCAUGUGUAGAAACUCGCCCCACUCAGUGUCAUCAUCAUCAGGAAUAGGCGACCUAUUCUCCAGCAUCAAAAUGAGUGGUCUUCGAGUGCAAAUAUCACAGCCACGAGGAAGAAAGUCGCGGCCAACAAGAGCUUCAAGCACGCUAGACUUCCCACUGCUCUGACUACCAACCACAGCCACCUGUGGCAGCGAUAUCUGUAAAACUUCGCCGCCUCCGCUAAAAGGAGCAAUGAUGUCCUGUAGCUUAUUGAUUAUGGGAAUGAAAGAUGAACCGAUAGUCGAAACCGGUUUCACAGUGCCACUGGGAUUUGCCUCCUUCCCCAUUGUAGUGACACAGAGAAAAUAGAAAAGACUAAAGAAGCAGAAAGCAGGAUUUUGAUGGAGUAGAGAUGAUAGUUAAAUGCUUGAUGUUGAAGAAAAAUAUUAAGAAGAAAAUAAAUAAAGAAAAAGGAGAUGCUCUUUGCUAACUUU
This 542-nucleotide unclassified non-coding RNA is filed under the name Hevea brasiliensis (rubber tree). Lineage: Eukaryota; Viridiplantae; Streptophyta; Magnoliopsida; Malpighiales; Euphorbiaceae. The record is from RNAcentral.